This 88-nucleotide transfer RNA is filed under the name Rhodothermus marinus DSM 4252. Its description in RNAcentral is "tRNA-Leu". It matches the Rfam family "tRNA". Rfam says of the family: Transfer RNA (tRNA) molecules are approximately 80 nucleotides in length. Their secondary structure includes four short double-helical elements and three loops (D, anti-codon, and T loops). Further hydrogen bonds mediate the characteristic L-shaped molecular structure. tRNAs have two regions of fundamental functional importance: the anti-codon, which is responsible for specific mRNA codon recognition, and the 3' end, to which the tRNAs corresponding amino acid is attached (by aminoacyl-tRNA synthetases). tRNAs cope with the degeneracy of the genetic code in two manners: having more than one tRNA (with a specific anti-codon) for a particular amino acid; and 'wobble' base-pairing, i.e. permitting non-standard base-pairing at the 3rd anti-codon position. Lineage: Bacteria; Pseudomonadati; Rhodothermota; Rhodothermia; Rhodothermales; Rhodothermaceae. The record is from RNAcentral.
GCCCGGGUGGCGGAACUGGUAGACGCACGUGACUCAAAAUCACGUGGCCCCCGCGGCCGUGUGGGUUCGAGUCCCACCCCGGGCACCU